This 254-nucleotide ribosomal RNA is filed under the name uncultured bacterium. RNAcentral's name for it is "partial 16S ribosomal RNA". It matches the Rfam family "Bacterial small subunit ribosomal RNA", at positions 524 to 777 of the family's 1533-position model. The record is from RNAcentral.
UACGUAGGCAGCAAGCGUUGUUCGGAGUUACUGGGCGUAAAGGGUGUGUAGGCGGUUCUUUAAGUUUGGUGUGAAAUCUCCCGGCUCAACCGGGAGGGUGCGCCGAAAACUGAAGGGCUAGAGUGCGGGAGAGGAGAGUGGAAUUCCAGGUGUAGCGGUGAAAUGCGUAGAUAUCUGGAGGAACACCGGUGGCGAAGGCGGCAUCCUGGACCAACACUGACGCUGAGGAGCGAAAGCCAGGGGAGCAAAGCGGG